Molecule: ribosomal RNA, 660 nt
Filed under: uncultured archaeon
Lineage: Archaea
Description: bacterial SSU rRNA
Rfam family: Archaeal small subunit ribosomal RNA
Source: RNAcentral
CGUACGGCUCAGUAACACGUAGUCAACCUGCCCUGGAGACAUGGACAACCCCGGGAAACUGGGAUUAAUCCGUGAUAGGUCAUCCCAUCUGGAAGGAGGGAUGGCUUAAAGGGGUGCGCGGGCUUCUUCUGCGUAUUCGCUCCAGGAUGGGACUGCGUCCGAUCAGGCUGUUGGCGGGGUAAUGGCCCACCAAACCUGUAACCGGUACGGGCCUUGAGAGAGGUGGCCCGGAGAUGGACACUGAGAGAAGGGUCCAGGUCCUACGGGGCGCAGCAGGCGCGAAACCUUCGCAAUGCGCGAAAGCGUGACGAGGUUAAUCCGAGUGGUCUCCGCUGAGGAGACCUUUUGUCAGCUGUAAAUAGGCGGGCGAAUAAGGGGAGGGCAAGUCUGGUGUCAGCCGCCGCGGUAAUACCAGCUCCUCGAGUGGUCGGGACGAUUAUUGGGCCUAAAGCACCCGUAGCCGGUUCCGUAAGUCCUCUGUUAAAUCCAGUCGCUCAACGGCUGGUCUGCAGAGGAUACUGCAGGACUAGGAGGCGGGAGAGGCGGACGGUACUCCGCGUGUAGGGGUAAAAUCCUUUGAUCCGCGGAAGACCACCAGUGGCGAAGGCGGUCCGCCAGAACGCGCUCGACGGUGAGGGGUGAAAGCUGGGGGAGCGAACC